UUCGGGAACGCAGUGACAGUUGGUGCAUGGCUGUCGUCAGCUCGUGUCGUGAGAUGUUGGGUUAAGUCCCGCAACGAGCGCAACCCACGUCUUUAGUUGCCAGCAUUUAGUUGGGCACUCUAGAGAGACCGCCGGUGAUAAACCGGAGGAAGGUGUGGAUGACGUCAAGUCAUCAUGCCCCUUACAUCCUGGGCUACACACGUACUACAAUGCUACGGACAAAGAGCAGCAAGUUCGCGAGGACAAGCAAAUCUCAUAAACCGUGGCUCAGUUCAGAUCGUAGGCUGCAACUCGCCUACGUGAAGGAGGAAUCGCUAGUAAUCGCAGGUCAGCAUACUGCGGUGAAUACGUUCCCGGGCCUUGUACACACCGCCCGUCGCACCAUGGAAGUUGGCCACGCCCGAAGCCGUUACUCCAACCCUCGGGAGGAGGACGUCGAAGGUGGGGCUGAUGACUGGGGUGAAGUCGUAACAAGGUAACCAAG
RNAcentral lists this ribosomal RNA (484 nucleotides) under uncultured bacterium. Its description in RNAcentral is "bacterial SSU rRNA". It matches the Rfam family "Bacterial small subunit ribosomal RNA", at positions 1019 to 1504 of the family's 1533-position model. The record is from RNAcentral.